UACGGGGGGGGCAAGCGUUGUUCGGAAUCACUGGGCGUAAAGCGCACGUAGGCGGAUCAUUAAGUCGGAGGUGAAAUCCUGGAGCUCAACUCCAGAACUGCCUUCGAUACUGAGAGUCUCGAGUCCGGGAGAGGUGAGUGGAACUGCGAGUGUAGAGGUGAAAUUCGUAGAUAUUCGCAAGAACACCAGUGGCGAAGGCGGCUCACUGGCCCGGUACUGACGCUGAGGAGCGAAAGCGUGGGGAGCGAACAGG
This 253-nucleotide ribosomal RNA is filed under the name uncultured bacterium. RNAcentral's name for it is "partial 16S ribosomal RNA". It matches the Rfam family "Bacterial small subunit ribosomal RNA", at positions 524 to 776 of the family's 1533-position model. The record is from RNAcentral.